AUGUGGAAGAAGCGCCCGUCCCCCGGCCUGCGUGAGAUCAACCGCGAGCUCGAUCGGCGCCGGAAGCUCGCCGUGUCCGCGAAGGGGAGAGUUGCAAUGAAGUCCCCUGCCGUGCAGCCGCCUCCGCGUAGAUCGAUGGUGCUGAUCCCGUCUGUGUCACCGGGCGCCGCCACCAUGGAGCUCGCCAACCCGACGGGGGACGGAGUUGCAAAGAAGUGCUCCACCCGGCCGCUGCCGCACCGGCCUGCCCUGGCCCCACUCGCAACAGCCAAGGCUGCCUCCAAGAAGAUCGCCUACCUGGACAUGGGAGCGGCUGAGCAGCGACGCACUGCCCCGCCGCGCCGAGACCCGCUGAUCCCGACCGCGUCCACCGUGAAGGUCCCCGUCGUGGCGAACAGAGGAAUUCCCAAGAGGUGCUCUGCCCCUCCUCCGUCGCCAUGCCAAUCCGCGUGGAUCCCGCACGCGCCGGCUGCCACCGUGAAGCUACCCAGUUCGGGUUCGAGCACAUCCGAAGCAGAGUACAGCAAGAAGACGUCAUCGGCACCGAUCCCGCGGCGCUGUUCGUCCACCUCGGCGAAGAAGGGCACGCCAGUGAAGGUGCGCACGCUGCUGGCGAACCUGCCGACGGGGGAGCGCCUCUUCUUCUUGCGCAACGCCGUCGCCGUCUCCGACGCAGAGGACGGCUACAUUGAAGUGCUGUACAACGGCAACUACCCUCCCGACGAUCCAUCUCGAGCCGUGCGCGUCGCCAUGGACCGGAUCAAGACCAUGCCGCCCACCCAGUGA
This 786-nucleotide ribosomal RNA is filed under the name Triticum aestivum (bread wheat). RNAcentral describes it as "partial small subunit ribosomal RNA". Lineage: Eukaryota; Viridiplantae; Streptophyta; Magnoliopsida; Poales; Poaceae. The record is from RNAcentral.